AAUCUGCGCAACCAGCAAUGGUGCGCCGAAUUGUGGUCUGAAGAAGUAUUGUCGGCCGCGAGUCCGGGUUAACUGUAUUGGAAAAUACGGCCUGUGAGGGUGAAAGCCCCGUUCAUGCCUGGACUUGUUGCGCUUUGGCACAUGCUUUCUACGAGUCGAGUUGCUUGGGAUUGCAGCUCAAAUUUGGUGGUAAAUUCCAUCUAAAGCUAAAUAUUGGUGUGACACCGAUAGUGUACAAGUACCGUGAGGGAAAGAUGCAAAGAACUUUGAAAAGAGAGUUAAAGAGUACCUGAAAUUGUUAAAAGGGAAGCGAAGGAAUCCAGUGUAAAGCGAAGCCAUUCUUCUCAAGCCACUUGUGGUUUGGGCGCUGUGGUUAGCUGUACUAAUUCUGGGCUUGACCUGGGGCAUACGUUCUUCGAGUAGACGACUCUUCGGAGUGAGUGCUCGUUUUUCAUAUCCUGGGUCGGGCUGAGGUCAGUCACUCUGUGCUCGUGAUGAAUUAGGAAAUGGAUUUCUUUACCCCGUCUUGAAACACGGACCAAGGAGUCUAACAUAUGUGCAAGUACGUCAGUGGCAAACUGAUAUGCGUAAUGAAAGUAACAGUGGUAGGAACCUUCGGGUGCACUAUCCGCCGGCCAUAAUCCUUCGGGAGAAAGGUCUGAGUGUGAGCAUACAUGUUGGGACCCGAAAGAUGG
This 695-nucleotide ribosomal RNA is filed under the name Skeletonema pseudocostatum. RNAcentral's name for it is "eukaryotic LSU rRNA". It matches the Rfam family "Eukaryotic large subunit ribosomal RNA", at positions 119 to 826 of the family's 3401-position model. The record is from RNAcentral. Lineage: Eukaryota; Bacillariophyta; Thalassiosirophyceae; Thalassiosirales; Thalassiosiraceae.